This is a long non-coding RNA of Balaenoptera ricei (Rice's whale), 786 nucleotides long. RefSeq lists it as uncharacterized. The record is from RefSeq and is a predicted model, not a curated record. Lineage: Eukaryota; Metazoa; Chordata; Mammalia; Artiodactyla; Balaenopteridae. The transcript has 3 exons.
CCUUCACCUCGCCCAUCUCAAUGAAGGUGGUGCUUUCUUUGCCUGAGGCGUAGGAUGAGGUCAUCUGGAUGCCAAGGGAAUCAAUGAUUAACAGAGUCUCGUGAUCAAUCUUCACAAAAUGGAGGUAACCAAGCAGGCCUAAGAGAGUGAUGAAGAUGGCAGCAGAGAGGAUCAUGCUGUUCUGAAGAGAGAGCCAGACACAGGCGACCACUGUGCGGAGCACUGAGAAGGCAGACAAGUCCUGGCUGGAGGGUUAGCAAGAGGGGAAGAUGCAGAAGAUGCCGCCUGGGAUAUGAAGCAAAAAGUUCUCAUGCCCAUGACCCUGUAAACACAGCAAGGAGUGAUUCUUUCAUCUCUCAAUGUUGGACUUCAAAGUAUUCAGAAGCCUCAAAAAUUCGGUGGAAUGUAACAGCAAGGAAGGGCAGGCUGAUGAAAAGAACUUAGACUUAGCAAUUGGCAAGUUUCUCCGAGGAGGUUUAAUAUCUUUUUGCAGGGUCAUUAAAGGAGUCUCACAGCUAAUUCCCUCAUGAAUUCAGCUGUGGAGAAGCAGAGAAAGGAAGCAUGAGAAACAUGUACUCUGUAUUUGUCAAGGCAGGCUAACUGCUACUAAAAAAAUGUCAGUGGCAUAACACAAUAAAUGUUUGUUUAUUGUCUGUCUACAGUUCCAUUUAGGUGCUUGUGGUCAGAUGACCCAUCAUUUCUGCCAAGUGGUGAUUCAGAGACCCAGGCUCCUUCCAUUUAGUGGCUUCACAAUCCCUUGAGGCCUCCUCAGGGUCCCCUCCAUUG